This 443-nucleotide ribosomal RNA is filed under the name uncultured bacterium. RNAcentral describes it as "partial 16S ribosomal RNA". It matches the Rfam family "Bacterial small subunit ribosomal RNA", at positions 338 to 795 of the family's 1533-position model. The record is from RNAcentral.
CCUACGGGAUGCUGCAGUGGGGAAUAUUGGGCAAUGGGCGCAAGCCUUACCCAGCAAUACCGCGUGUGUGAAGAAGGUCUUCGGAUUGUAAAGCACUUUGAUCAGGGACGAACAGAUGACGGUAACUGACGAACAAGCUCCGGCUAACUACGUGCCAGCAGCCGCGGUAAAACGGGGGGGGCGAGCGUUGUCCGGAAUGACUGGGCGUAAAGGGUGCGUAGGCGGCAUAAUAAGUCAGAAGUGAAAUACCCCGGGCUUAACUCGGGUGCUGCUUCUAAGACUGUUGAGCUUGAGUGUGGUAGAGGUUAAUAGAAUUCCUAGUGUAGCGGUGGAAUGCGUAGAUAUUAGGAGGAACACCAGAGGCGAAGGCGAUUAACUGGACCGUAACUGACGCUGAGGUACGAAAGUGUGGGUAGCAAACAGGAUUAGAUACCCUGGUAGUC